This 251-nucleotide long non-coding RNA is filed under the name Elaeis guineensis (African oil palm). RNAcentral describes it as "long non-coding RNA (EGUI_LNC050141)". The record is from RNAcentral. Lineage: Eukaryota; Viridiplantae; Streptophyta; Magnoliopsida; Arecales; Arecaceae.
UAUGGAUAUUCACUUAAGAUCAAUCUAGAAUAGUCCUCUUUGGUGUUGAUCUUUCUUCUUUAAGAAUAAUCACCAUGCAAAUUUGAACGAAGCUUGGAUCGUGAUCAACUCUUUAAUCCUUUCAUUGAUUUUUUUUCUUUUCUUCUCUUACUCUUCUUUCCUUGAUUAUGAAGCAACUAAAGUCCAAAAACUAGCAAAGAAAAGAAGACGCCCAAGCUCCUCUUGGGCAUGGAGAUGGAAGAUGCCUAACU